WUUUAUUWRAUAAAAAACCAACGCGGCUCGCCGCUCCAUUGGUGAUUCAUAAUAACUUCUCKUAUCGCAUGGCCUUGUGCCGGCGAUGCUUCAUUCAAAUAUCUGCCCUAUCAACUUUCSAUGGUAGGAUAGAGGCCUACCAUGGUUUCAACGGGUAACGGGGAAUAAGGGUUCGAUUCCGGAWAGGGAGCCUGASAAACGGCUACCACAUCCAAGGAAGGCAGCAGGCGCGCAAAUUACCCAAUCCCGACACGGGGAGGUAGUGACAAUAAAUAACAAUAUAGGGCUCUUUUGGGUCUUAUAAUUGGAAUGAGUACAAUUUAAAUCCCUUAACGAGGAACAAUUGGAGGGCAAGUCUGGUGCAGCAGCCGCGGUAAUUCCAGCUCCAAUAGCGUAUAUUAAAGUUGUUGCAAWUAAAAAGCUCGUUAGAUGAACUUCAGACCUGGCCGGGCGGYCCGCCUAACUGSWSUGUACUGUCUGAGCUGSGCUGUACUUCCUGSUGAGACGGSUMUGCCCCUKCGCUSGKUGUGUSGKGRAAACCAGGUACCUUUACCWURAKUAGAKURGAGUGWUCAA
Molecule: ribosomal RNA, 576 nt
Filed under: uncultured eukaryote
Lineage: Eukaryota
Description: partial 18S ribosomal RNA
Rfam family: Eukaryotic small subunit ribosomal RNA
Source: RNAcentral